ACCUUGCUGAAGAAUGUCAAAUAGCACGAAACCCGAGUCCAGGGU
Molecule: non-coding RNA, 45 nt
Filed under: Schistosoma mattheei
Lineage: Eukaryota; Metazoa; Platyhelminthes; Trematoda; Strigeidida; Schistosomatidae
Source: RNAcentral